Molecule: long non-coding RNA, 1107 nt
Filed under: Coturnix japonica (Japanese quail)
Lineage: Eukaryota; Metazoa; Chordata; Aves; Galliformes; Phasianidae
Description: lncRNA (ENSCJPG00005014884.1)
Source: RNAcentral
AUUUCUUCAGCCUAGAGAAGAGGAAAUUGAGGGGAGGUUGCAUGGUGGCCUAUAGGUUCCUCAUGAGGAGAGGAGAGUGCUGAUUUUCUGGGUAACAGAAAAAUAACAGUCUGUUACAUCUGAGUGGCAUUUGGAAAGGGAACCAAAUGAAAAUUCCUAAAGAAAACUGAUUAUUUUCCAGUUUAAUGGAAACUUAAGUAUCGCUUGCUUGGCAGAUCUGCUAGAAUUUAAACUGUCUCUUGUCAGAUUUCAUUAUAAGAAGAAGGGAGAAAAAAAAAAAAAGAAAAAAAAGAAGGUAAGGAUGCCAGAAUGAUGCAAACGUGAACAACUAUACAAGCAUGUAAACAACUAUGUGAACUGUCUUCCUGACUGGAUUUGCAAUGAAAUGGGUUGGUUUUGAAGUGCAGCUAAUGAGAGAUACACACUAUUAUAAGAAAGAAAAAAGAAGUCUUCUAUACCUUAUUGGAUCCAAUCUGUCAAUUAAGAGUUAGUGAUUUAUUUAUUUAUUUAUUUUACAUCUCGAUUCUAUCUCAUGUUUUGUAUAUACUGUUCAGCUGGGACUAUGAGACAGAAGGCACCUUUUCAGUGACUUCUGAGGCUUUACUUCAUUUUAUCUGCCAUUAUCUGAAUUGCUCACCACACUUCAGUGAGCCUUGUCUGACUACAGCUGAGUGACUGAUACAACUGAGCAGCCAGUAAUCAAAUGAAUUGCUUAGUAAAACUGGUCACAUUCACAACCUCUCUGAGCUGCCUGUUCCAGUGUUCUGUCAUUCUGAAGAGAAUAGAUAUAUUGUUCUUUAGACACAUCUGUAUUCCUGAAAGAAAACGAAUCCAGCUUGAAAGAAACUUUGAAUGCCAGGUAGAAUAUCGUUAAAUGUGAUAGAUACAUCACUGAAUGAUCUUAGCAUGACUGUGGAAGGGAAGAAUUUCAGGGAAGGCAGGUAGAAAUUAAAGUUUUCAGCUCUGAAAAGUUUCUUGUUAGUUGUCACUUGCAUCACCAAUGUGUCUCAGAGCCAUCACUGAAAAAGAUGGAAAUUACUUUAUCUUAUGCUAUACCCCUUUCUCUUGAGAAGCAAAUGUGGUGUGAUUAAAUUCUCAGUUUAAUUA